GUAAUUGCCCUGGUAGCACAUAUAAUGAAACUGGGAUACAAAGAAGAUCAGCAUGGCCCCUGUGCAAGGAUGACAGGAAAACUGGUGCAGUGUUCCGUGUUUUA
This is a small nuclear RNA of Nycticebus coucang (slow loris), 104 nucleotides long. The record is from RefSeq and is a predicted model, not a curated record. Lineage: Eukaryota; Metazoa; Chordata; Mammalia; Primates; Lorisidae.